AACGAACGCUGGCGGCGUGCCUAAGACAUGUAAGUCGUACGGAAAGGCCCCCUUCGGGGGCGACUCGAGUGGCGCACGGGUGAGUAACGCGUGGGUAAUCUGCCUCAGGGUCUAGGACAACCUCGGGAAACUGGGGCUAAUACUGGAUAAGACCACGAGCUCUUCGGAGCUUGCGGAAAAAGAUGGCCUCUCCUUGGAAGCUAUCGCCCUUCGAUGAGCCCGCGUCCCAUUAGCUAGUUGGUGAGGUGACGGCUCACCAAGGCUUUGAUGGGUAGCUGGUCUGAGAGGAUGAUCAGCCACACUGGAACUGAGACACGGUCCAGACUCCUACGGGAGGCAGCAGUCGGGAAUUUUGGGCAAUGGGCGAAAGCCUGACCCAGCAACGCCGCGUGAGGGAUGAAGGCCCUCGGGUCGUAAACCUCUGUCGGGAGGGAAGAACGGUUGCCGUUCGAACAGGACGGGAGCCUGACGGUACCUCCAAAGGAAGCACCGGCUAACUCCGUGCCAGCAGCCGCGGU
RNAcentral lists this ribosomal RNA (518 nucleotides) under uncultured bacterium. RNAcentral's name for it is "bacterial SSU rRNA". It matches the Rfam family "Bacterial small subunit ribosomal RNA", at positions 28 to 521 of the family's 1533-position model. The record is from RNAcentral.